This 422-nucleotide ribosomal RNA is filed under the name uncultured prokaryote. RNAcentral describes it as "bacterial SSU rRNA". It matches the Rfam family "Bacterial small subunit ribosomal RNA", at positions 338 to 774 of the family's 1533-position model. The record is from RNAcentral.
CCUACGGGGGGCAGCAAUUAGGAAUCUUGCGCAAUGGGCGAAAGCCUGACGCAGCGACGCCGCGUGACUGAUGAAGUCUUUCGGGAUGUAAAGGUCUUUUUUGGGGGAAGAAGGAAGUGACGGUACCCCAAGAAUAAGCCCCGGCUAACUACGUGCCAGCAGCCGCGGUAAUACGUAGGGGGCGAGCGUUGUCCGAAUUCACUGGGCGUAAAGCGCGCGUAGGCGGAUAAUUAAGUUGGGGGUGAAAUGCCGAGGCUCAACCUGGGAACUGCCUUCAAAACUGGUUAUCUUGAGGUAUGGAGAGGGAGGUGGAAUUCCAGGUGUAGCGGUGAAAUGCGUAGAUAUCUGGAGGAACACCCGUGGCGAAGGCGGCUUCCUGGUCAUAUCCUGACGCUGAGGUGCGAAAGCUAGGGGAGCGAACG